RNAcentral lists this long non-coding RNA (456 nucleotides) under Sinocyclocheilus anshuiensis. RNAcentral's name for it is "lncRNA (ENSSANG00000036447.1)". The record is from RNAcentral. Lineage: Eukaryota; Metazoa; Chordata; Actinopteri; Cypriniformes; Cyprinidae.
AUCAUUACACAUUCAUCAGAAUGGCUUGGUUGGUGAAGAAAUUGGUGUGUGCCGUUCAUCAGUCCGAUGAAAAAAUGGAUAAAAAUCCCAAAAAGGAGAAGAAGAAGAACAAGAAGAGUGUCAAGUUUGCGCUGUGUUCUUCAGUGGAUGUGCUGGACUCGUCCAGUGCAGCUCCUGAAGACAGUGACAAACCACCCUCCUCUUCCUCCUCAGGCAAACGCAGAUUUCAAGGUCUGCGGUGCUUUUUUGGCAGAAUGCUGUCAUUCUGUCACAUGUCCGCAUCUUCUGAGCAGGAUAAGACGUCUUCCAUCCAGACUCAGAAGACCAGCGACCAGGAGAAAGAAGCAGUCAGAGCAGUAGUUGUAGACGGUUCUUCAUCACCUGCAGAUGUCAGAUUCUCAGAACAAAAACCGUCUGAGCUGCCGACUGCGAUUCAGGAGACUGAACCCAUCACAG